UAACCUGCCUUUAAGACGAGGAUAACAGUUGGAAACAAUUGCUAAGACUGGAUAGGAAGUUAAAAGGCAUCUUUUAAUUUUUAAAAGACCUUUUUCGAAAGGUAUGCUUAAAGAGGGGCUUGCGACACAUUAGUUAGUUGGUAGGGUAAAAGCCUACCAAGACUAUGAUGUGUAGCUGGACUGAGAGGUCGAACAGCCACAUUGGGACUGAGACACGGCCCAAACUCCUACGGGAGGCAGCAGUAGGGAAUUUUCGGCAAUGGAGGAAACUCUGACCGAGCAACGCCGCGUGAACGAUGAAGUAUUUCGGUAUGUAAAGUUCUUUUAUUGAAGAAGAAAAAAUAGUGGAAAAACUAUAUUGACGCUAUUCAAUGAAUAAGCCCCGGCAAACUAUGUGCCAGCAGCCGCGGUAAUACAUAGGGGGCAAGCGUUAUCCGGAAUUAUUGGGCGUAAAGGGUGCGUAGGCGGUUUAAUAAGUCUGUAGUUUAAUUUCAGUGCUUAACACUGUCCUGCUAUAGAAACUAUUAGACUAGAGUGAGAUAGAGGUAAGCGGAAUUCCAUGUGUAGCGGUAAAAUGCGUAAAUAUAUGGAGGAACACCAGAGGCGUAGGCGGCUUACUGGGUCUUUACUGACGCUGAGGCACGAAAGCGUGGGGAGCAAACAGGAUUAGAUACCCUGGUAGUCCACGCCGUAAACGAUGAGUACUAAGUGUCGGGGAAACUCGGUACUGAAGUUAACACAUUAAGUACUCCGCCUGAGUAGUACGUACGCAAGUAUGAAACUUAAAGGAAUUGACGGGACUCCGCACAAGCGGUGGAUCAUGUUGUUUAAUUCGAAGAUACACGAAAAACCUUACCAGGUCUUGACAUACUCUGCAAAGCUAUAGCAAUAUAGUGGAGGUUAUCAGGGAUACAGGUGGUGCAUGGUUGUCGUCAGCUCGUGUCGUGAGAUGUUAGGUUAAGUCCUAAAACGAGCGCAACCCUUAUCGUUAGUUACCAGCAUGUUAUGAUGGGGACUUUAACGAGACUGCCAAUGAAAAAUUGGAGGAAGGUGAGGAUCACGUCAAAUCAUCAUGCCCCUUAUGAUCUGGGCUACAAACGUGAUACAAUGGCUGUUACAAAGAGUAGCUAAAACGCGAGUUUAUAGCCAAUCUCAAAAAAACAGUCUCAGUUCGGAUUGAAGUCUGCAACUCGACUUCAUGAAGUUGGAAUCGCUAGUAAUCGCGAAUCAGCAUGUCGCGGUGAAUACGUUCUCGGGGUUUGUACACACCGCCCGUCAAACCACGAAAAUCGGUAAUACUCGAAAGC
This 1307-nucleotide ribosomal RNA is filed under the name Candidatus Phytoplasma oryzae. Its description in RNAcentral is "bacterial SSU rRNA". It matches the Rfam family "Bacterial small subunit ribosomal RNA", at positions 122 to 1428 of the family's 1533-position model. The record is from RNAcentral. Lineage: Bacteria; Bacillati; Mycoplasmatota; Mollicutes; Acholeplasmatales; Acholeplasmataceae.